UCUUCCCCUCCUCCUCACCUUCCCCUUGUUCUCUCUGUAGUUUUAAUUUUAGGUAUUGUAUCAUCAGUUUCUUACUGUUCAUAGAAAAUGUAAAUCAUAUCCUGGUGGAUGUGUCUGUGCAGUUGCAUAUUUAGCAGUGUAUUCCACUCGUGACAUUUAGGGGAAUCUACAAAUUUCAGUAAAGCCAUGGUAUUUUCAGUGCCUUUUCAAGUGUAGUGUACUCCCUCCUAGUGUUCACGCAGAGAAGUAAAGGUCCCAGAUCGGCCAGUGAUAUACGCGCAUUGCAGGUAGUAUAGUGUACUCGUGGGUGACGUUUCGCAGAAAGGAACCCCCCAAGCCCGAGCUCCUGAAAGCUGCCCCGACUUCUAACGUCUAAGCCGCUGUUGCUGUUGUUUGGACGCACGGCAUUCUCCACAGUGGCGAAAGAUCCAUUAUGAAAGAGGUUUUAUGUGCUCAUCCGUGAUUACGUCCCUGUUUUGCUGGGGCAUGAUGUUGCUCAUGUUAUGGGUUUGUCUUUUUGUUUUUUGUUUUUUUUGUUACAUGUUGUGAGUAUUACAACUAAUUGAAAAGAAAAGAAAAAAUUAUUGCACUUUGAUCAGUGGAGGUUUUUGAUAGUGUUGUUUCUCAUAAGCCUAUAGUCAUUGAUGUACGUCUGUAUUACUACUUUUUUCAGUUAAAAGAUCUUUAUUUUAUUUUAUUUAUUUAUUAUUAUUAUUUUUUUCUUUCUAAGAAAUUGAUUUUGGAAUUUUUCGUAAAUAAUAGCCAUUUGACAAACCUGAGAACUUCAAAAUAACAAGUUUUAUAGAGUAUUAUAGACUAUUCCUUCGGCCGGUGUGUGCACGUGAGGCUGAGAAUCCGAGUGGGCAUCUGCAGACGUCAGGGCAUUAUCCCUCUUUGGUACUUGCCUCCCUUAUAGACUGAUUUCAACUUAUCGACAGAGGGAGGACUCUUAAGAUUGAAAAUACAAUAGCACGAUGUAUGAAAAUUAGGAAUGUAUGAUAUGUGACCUUUUACACAGACUUCAAUCUUUCUUUGGUGUCUUUUUGAUUGGGUGUUCUUUGCACUGAAGAUCAGGGUUAUGUGAAAGUCAUAGUGUUAUGGUGCGACAGUCAGGUUCUACCUGAUUUUCGAAAACAUGUACAUUACUUGAAAUUGAAAUUGUUUCCCAGUGGUUAGAUUAUAGAAAAUAUUUGAUAUAUGGAAAGGUAAAUCUUUCUGAGAUGUAGGCUUACAGUGUAUUUAGUUAUGAAGACAAGUAUUGUUGUUGCAUGGCAUUGAAAAAAACAAAACAAAAAUCAGAAGCUACAAUAGAAGUGAGUGCAUACAACUGGUGUCUCUAGUAUUUUCAUUAUGAUGCUGUCAUAAUUCUACUUAGCCAGAAAAUUGUCAUGGAUUUUAUUAAAAAGUAAAUGUUUUGAAUAGUACCAAGUAUACUGCACAUUGA
Long non-coding RNA from Penaeus indicus, 1444 nucleotides. RefSeq lists it as uncharacterized. The transcript has 2 exons. NCBI's taxonomy places the organism in Eukaryota, Metazoa, Arthropoda, Malacostraca, Decapoda, Penaeidae. The record is from RefSeq and is a predicted model, not a curated record.